UACGUAGGUGGCGAGCGUUGUCCGGAUUUAUUGGGCGUAAAGCGUGCGUAGGCGGUUGUCUAAGUCUGGUGUGAAAUCUCCCGGCUCAACUGGGAGGGUGCGCCGGAAACUGGAUGACUGGAGUGCCGGAGAGGUAAGCGGAAUUCCUGGUGUAGCGGUGAAAUGCGUAGAGAUCAGGAGGAACACCUGUGGUGUAGACAGCUUACUGGACGGUGACUGACGCUGAGGCACGAAAGCGUGGGUAGCAAACAGG
This 253-nucleotide ribosomal RNA is filed under the name uncultured bacterium. RNAcentral describes it as "partial 16S ribosomal RNA". It matches the Rfam family "Bacterial small subunit ribosomal RNA", at positions 524 to 776 of the family's 1533-position model. The record is from RNAcentral.